Crotalus tigris (Tiger rattlesnake) is the source of this 1889-nucleotide long non-coding RNA. RefSeq lists it as uncharacterized. The transcript is spliced from 3 exons. NCBI's taxonomy places the organism in Eukaryota, Metazoa, Chordata, Lepidosauria, Squamata, Viperidae. The record is from RefSeq and is a predicted model, not a curated record.
UGAGUCCACAAAACAACUCGGUUUCCCAGCAAACCUACGGGCAGAUUGACGCGUGCGUAAUCAAAGCUCUUUUUUUUCGUGUUUCCCGGUUGACUCAACUUUGAUAUUUUGGUAACCGAUUGGCUGACAGGUUCAGCCGGCCGGGCAACGUCAGCAGGGAAACGUGGCAGCUUGGGCGAGCCGUUGAUUUCUCCAGACAGGAUAGGGAGAAAGCGGGGCAGCGGCGAAGGGAGGGAAAAGCGACGCCAGCUAUUUUGUGGGCGGAGCGAUCGCGUGGAAUUGGAAUUUGAACGGAGGUGUGUCUCUGGAAAUACCAAGAGCAACGAAGAAAGCAGAGGGAGCACCUCCAUGAAAUAAAAGCAAGGCAUCAGGAGGAGCUGGCGGAAAAGAAUGCCAGAAUAACGGCUGAGUCAGUCAUUUCCCUUACAAGCCUGUCUUAAGCUUCUCUUUUGGUCUGCUUAUUUCUAUUCUAUGACUGAUGUAUGCUUCUGGUAAUUUUUAUGUCUUAAUUGGAAGAAGAAAAUAAAGCGCUUGCCAGCAAUUUAGCAUGUAUUGUAGAGGAAAACAACGAGAUUAAAAAGAAACUCCAAAAAGUUGAAGAGAGGUUUGCCCAGCUGACCCCUGACACCGCAAUUUUAAUAGAGUGGCUGAGGGAAUGGGAGAUGGAGGCAAUGGAGGAGGAAGAAGAGAUGAGCUCCCAGAUACACCUAUUCACAAACAUUUGACCAACAUAGACAAAGAUGAGAUGCCAAAAGUGAAAUAAUCAUAAUGACAGGCUGUUGUUUCAUAGCAGAUUUACAUAGGAGUUAUGCAAAAAGAAAGAAAGAAAGAAAGAAAGAAAGAAAGAAAGAAAGAAAGAAAGAAAGAAAGAAAAAUUUUCUCUGAUUUUUUCCAGUUUUUUUUUUCUGAGAAUUCAAUUAAGAAUCCAAGAAGACAACAAAAUGAUCAAAAUACUUCCCUACCAACAAUCAACAUUCACAUGAACAAGAUUAACAUCAAACCAACAAUCGAGUAAACAAUGUUCCAGUCAAGGAACUGCCAAACAAGCUAACAGUAAACAGCCCAGCCAAAGAAGGUCACACAAACCUACUACAAAGAACUGCACGACAAAGUAGCCCCAGGGGUGCAUUGCAAGAUCCACAAGAAAUACCAUUUGCCUGCAAGCAAGAACUGGUGGGACUAUAAAAUAGAAAAUGAAGAAGCUAAAGUGUUCUGGGAGUUUAGAAUCCAAAAAGACAGACACCUGCCAUAUAACAAGCCAACUGUCAAUAAGAAAAGACAAAAAAAGUCUAGACAGUGGACUGGGCAGUACUGGAAACAGCAGACUAGAGAAGAAGGAGAAACUAAAAAUACAUAUACAGAAGAAGGGGUAAGACCAAGAGAACAGAGACAAAUAAGAUUGACUAGAAGAUUAAAACCUAGAUAUAAUUGAAAGAGAUGGGCAGAUCAUAAUCCAAUAAAGAUGACUUGGAGAGGAACCAAGAAAAAAUUAAGAUGGUCCCUGAACAAAUCUAUAUUGAAAGAAAAAGAAUUUAUACAACUAACGACAAAGGAAAUGGACUUUGUCAAAAAAGUUAAGAAAGGAUAUCACUUUUAAAUAUGUGGGAUACAGCUAAAGCAUAUUUUAGAGGGCUGGCUAUAACUUAUACUGCUAAAAAGAACAAAGAAAACAACAACAGUUAAAGCUGAAGGAAGAAUUUAGGAAAUUAGAAUUAGAAUUACAAAUAGACCCACAAAAGAAAAUACUUAAAAAGCAAAUGGAAAUAUUAAAACAUAAAUUAAACCUUGUAGAGGCGGAAACAAUGGCUUAACAAAUUAAAAGGGCUAAACAGAACUUCUUUGAAAAUGCUAACAAACUGGGAAGAUGGUUAGCACAUAAACUGAAAAAA